RNAcentral lists this ribosomal RNA (253 nucleotides) under uncultured bacterium. Its description in RNAcentral is "partial 16S ribosomal RNA". It matches the Rfam family "Bacterial small subunit ribosomal RNA", at positions 524 to 776 of the family's 1533-position model. The record is from RNAcentral.
UACGAAGGGUGCAAGCGUUAUUCGGAUUUAUUGGGCGUAAAGGGUUCGUAGGCGGGAUUGUAAGUCAAGUGUGAAAUCCCCAAGCUUAACUUGGGACGUGCAUUUGAAACUGUGAUUCUUGAGUCAUUGAGAGGGUGGUGGAAUUGUUGGUGUAGGAGUGACAUCCGUAGAGAUCAACAGGAACAUCAGAGGCGAAAGCGGCCACCUGGCAAUGUACUGACGCUGAGGAACGAAAGCGUGGGGAGCAAACAGG